GUGUAACGUGCUCAAAUCCGUCUCUGUUCUAUGAUGUCAUCAGAAAGCGCAUGUUAUUGUUUGGGGAAAGGACUUCUCCCGUUCUCCCGUCUGCUGCUGUAGUGGCAAUUGUCUCCCUUAAGACGGUCUUUAAGGGCAUUGUCGUUUUACCCUACUUCAACUGGCCUAAGUAAAGGGACUGAAGUCAAACCCUCUUGUCUGCGUGGUCAUUUUGAAGAGGAGUUUAGUCUGAAUGUCGACUCUAGCAAGGCGUUAGAGGCAGAGGACAUGACACUA
Haplochromis burtoni (Burton's mouthbrooder) is the source of this 276-nucleotide long non-coding RNA. RefSeq lists it as uncharacterized. The record is from RefSeq and is a predicted model, not a curated record. The transcript is spliced from 2 exons. NCBI's taxonomy places the organism in Eukaryota, Metazoa, Chordata, Actinopteri, Cichliformes, Cichlidae.